GACGUAGGUGACCUGCCUUGGAGUGGGGGAUAACCACUGGAAACGGUGGCUAAUACCGCAUGGCUUAUCAGGGAUGGGAAUUCGUGAUAAGAAAGCUUUGGCGCUGUGAGAGGGGCCUACGGCCGAUUAGCUAGUUGGUGAGGUAAGAGCUCACCAAGGCGAUGAUCGGUAGCUGGUCUGAGAGGACGAUCAGCCACACGGGAACUGAGACACGGUCCCG
Molecule: ribosomal RNA, 220 nt
Filed under: uncultured bacterium
Lineage: Bacteria
Description: partial 16S ribosomal RNA
Rfam family: Bacterial small subunit ribosomal RNA
Source: RNAcentral